Oncorhynchus tshawytscha (Chinook salmon) is the source of this 3884-nucleotide long non-coding RNA. The record is from Ensembl. NCBI's taxonomy places the organism in Eukaryota, Metazoa, Chordata, Actinopteri, Salmoniformes, Salmonidae.
CUUCUCUGUCUCCAGUCCCUAGCUACUACCCUCCUCUCUCUCCAGUCCCUAGCUACUACCCUUCUCUUUCUCUCUCCAGUCCCUAGCUACUACUCUUCUGUCUCCAGUCCCUAGCUACUACCCUCCUCUCUCUCCAGUCCCUAGCUACUACCCUUUUGUCUCUCCAGUCUCUAGCUACUACCCUUCUGUCUCUCCAGUCCCUAGCUACUACCCUUCUGUCUCCAGUCCCUAGCUACUACCCUUCUCUGUCUCCAGUCCCUAGCUACUACCCUUCUCUCUCUCCUGUCCCUAGCUACUACCCUUCUCUGUCUCCAGUCCCUAGCUACUACCCUCCUCUCUCUCCAGUCCCUAGCUACUACCCUUCUCUUUCUCUCUCCAGUCCCUAGCUACUACCCUUCUCUUUCUCUCUCCAGUCCCUAGCUACUACCCUUCUCUUUCUCUCUCCAGUCCCUAGCUACUACCCUUCUCUCCAGUCCCUAGCUACUACCCUUCUCUCUCCAGUCCCUAGCUACUACCCUUCUCUCUCUCUCCAGUCCCUAGCUACUACCCUUCUCUCUCUCCAGUCCCUAGCUACUACCUUUCUCUCUCUCUCCAGUCCCUAGCUACUACCCUUCUCUCUCUCCAGUCCCUAGCUACUACCCUUCUCUCUCUCUCCAGUCCCUAGCUACUACCCUUCUCUCUCUCUCCAGUCCCUAGCUACUACCCUUCUCUCUCUCUCUCUCCAGUCCCCAGCUACUACCCUUCUCGCUCUCUCUCCAGUCCCUAGCUACUACCCUUCCCUCUCUCUCUCUCUCUCUCUCUCUCUCCAGUCCCUAGCUACUACCCUUCUCUCUCUCUCCAGUCCCUAGCUACUACCCUUCUCUCUCUCUCCAGUCUCUAGCUACUACCCUUCUGUCUCUCCAGUCCCUAGCUACUACCCUUCUCUCUCUCCAGUCCCUAGCUACUACCCUUCUCUCUCUCCUGUCCCUAGCUACUACCCUUCUCUGUCUCCAGUCCCUAGCUACUACCCUCCUCUCUCUCCAGUCCCUAGCUACUACCCUUCUCUUUCUCUCUCCAGUCCCUAGCUACUACCCUUCUCUUUCUCUCUCCAGUCCCUAGCUACUACCCUCCUCUCUCUCCAGUCCCUAGCUACUACUCUCUCUCUCUCUCCAGUCCCUAGCUACUACCCUUCUCUUUCUCUCUCCAGUCCCUAGCUACUACCCUCCUCUCUCUCCAGUCCCUAGCUACUACCCUUCUCUCUCUCUCCAGUCCCUAGCUACUACCCUUCUCUCUCUCCAGUCUCUAGCUACUACCCUUCUGUCUCUCCAGUCCCUAGCUCCUACCCUUCUGUCUCUCCAGUCCCUAGCUACUACCCUUCUCUCCAGUCGCUAGCUACUACCCUUCUCUCUCUCUCCAGUCCCUAGCUACUACCCUUCUCUCUCUCCAGUCCCUAGCUACUACCCUUCUGUCUCUCCAGUCCCUAGCUACUACCCUCCUCUCUCUCCAGUCCCUAGCUACUACCCUCCUCUCUCUCCAGUCCCUAGCUACUACUCUUCUGUCUCCAGUCCCUAGCUACUACCGUCCUCUCUCUCCAGUCCCUAGCUACUACCCUUCUCUUUCUCUCUCCAGUCCCUAGCUACUACUCUUCUCUCUCUCUCUCUCUCUCUCUCUCUCCACUACUACCCUCCUCUCUCUCCAGUCCCUAGCUACUACCCUUCUCUCUCUCUCUCUCUUUCUCUCUCUCCAGUCCCUAGCUACUACCCUUCUGCUUUGAGACGCGGGGGACCUUUCACACUGACUCUCUCUCUUCCUGGUGCCAUCUCAACCGUAGUGUUAAAACAUCUCUACUUCUAGCCUCUCUAUCAUCUCAACUCAGUUGAGCCUUUUAAUCAGUGUGACAACGUUACUACUGUAGACCCACCCUGGGCAAAACAAGGAUGACUCUCGUCGUCCUUCCGGAAUUUGAUUUGUGAAUGUGUUCUCUAUUCCAUUUCUAGCUUGUUGUAUGAGCUCAGAUUUGUCUUCUGGGUGACAUUGACACGGAUGAUGAUGCGUUCAUCUUUGCAUUCUCUCUCUUCACACCUAGUCAGUGUUUAAACUGGAAUUACAACAUCUUCAACAACGUUCAGGGAUUCAAUACUAUGCUUUUCAGUAAUUACUACAGUAUAUGCAACCCGUGCAGAAUGGUGCAACGUACGUACUUGCAUUGGUGCAGGAGCGACUUUCACACCACUGUAGCAUUUUAAAAACAUUUUUAAUCUUGUCUAUUGAUGUUUUAAUGAUUUGCUGAGCUGAGCUUUUGGGUAUUAGACAGAGAGCAGGUGGGCAGGUGCCAACUCAAACAAUUAUUACUUUACCUCUAUCUGAAAGACAGUGGAACGGACUUAGGGAAAGCCCAACUGUAUUACUAGAUUGUGGCUGUACUCUUGGGGGUAAAGGCUGCAGUUGGCCAGUGGUCUCGCAGCGGAUGUAGGCUCUAUCGCAAUUAGUCUUUCCUUGAUUCCUCACAUCCUAUCUCCUUGCCUAAUAUGGUUGAGGAGGAGGAGAGAAGGGAUGCGAAGAUUCAAGGACAUUUUAAUUGAGAAAGCCAUAGAAUGGUGGCCGUUACUGUGAACCCCCCCCCUCCCUCGCUACACACUGGAAGCCUGUAGCGCUCAGCAAUAGCAACUAGCAAGCAAAGGGCAUUGGAGGAAGAGUGGAAGGGGCACCAGUUUCCAAGCAGUUAGUGGUGAACCAACAGUCUGAUAUACAAUCACUACAGUACUACUGCAUUAUUUUGGUUGUCGUAUGUGCUUCUGAGAAAGAAAAAAAAUAUGUAGCCAUGUUGUGGUCCUCUGACGAUUUCUGGUAUUUUGAGGAUAUCAUUUUGUGUACAUGAUUUUAUUUUUAAACCACAACUACUUCUACAAAGCUGAUUACACUGUACAGGCGUUUUAAACCCCAAGCCACACUACAAUCUUCUUAGUUGAUCAGACCUUGGCCUUCUUGUGAGAGUUGACUUUCUUUCAGAUAAACUUCAGAAAGCCCAAAUAACAUUUGACUUCAGAUUGACUGGGAUAUUGAAAUGCACAUUAUGUAAAUAUAUAUGUCAUUUUUAGAUCGUAGAUGAUGGAUAUAGCAUGAGGUUGUUUCUAUUGUUAUUAGAAUAUAUCACAAAGACUGGAAAAAAUCCCAGAUAAAUGAAUUAUUACAUAAUAAGAUUUUACCUGUUUAUUUUGUAUAUCUAUGUUUUUAAAUUGUAUCAAUUUAUGGCCCAAAUGGCCCAAAACGGUCACUCUUCCUUCCCCAGAUGAGACUAACUUCUUUCUAAGGUGAUCUGAUGAAAAUCCCCUCAAAUGGAACCCUGAAUCAACAGUUAUAUACCAUUUUCACACUACUGAGCUGAGCCGAACUAAGCCGAACCGAGUUGGAUAGAGAUGGCCUGGUUAAGCAUCCACCAUAGUUGCUGGAAGAAAGCUGAAAAUGACAAUGUGAUCGGAAAAUAUCAGAGCCAGCAAAGAAUGGUUCGGGUUGGCUCAGUAGUGUGAAAAUAGUCAUUGUUUUACCUCAGACAUCCUAGCUCAGACCCUUAUGUUACACUACAACAUUGACAUACCAUUGCUACAAUGUUGCAAGAAUGUUAUUCCUUGUAUGUGACCAUCAGACAGUGUUUUCUGUAACACACUUCCUCUCAAAACAACCCUAAAGCUAAACCUAGGUUCGCUUCGGUUCUGUAUUUGCUGAUAGUCGAACAGUGUGACUUGGCACAAAUGACUGUUCUAUUGGCAAGUGGACUUGCCAAUCAUUUUUAUGCUUUGAAGUUAUUUAACAAACUUUCAGAUGCCUGGUUGGAAGUGGAUGUUAAAUAUUGUACAGAUAAAUUGUAUGCUAUUGUCCCUAAAAUAAAGUAUAGUGACUGCUCAUUA